RNAcentral lists this transfer-messenger RNA (371 nucleotides) under Burkholderiales. Its description in RNAcentral is "JAEUOS01 sp016790635 Standard tmRNA". It matches the Rfam family "transfer-messenger RNA". From Rfam's summary of the family: Bacterial tmRNA, also known as 10Sa RNA or SsrA, is named for its dual tRNA and mRNA-like properties. Its role is to liberate the mRNA from a stalled ribosome. RNAcentral also lists the same sequence under 1 other name. The record is from RNAcentral. Lineage: Bacteria; Pseudomonadati; Pseudomonadota; Betaproteobacteria.
GGGGCCGAUCCGGUUUCGACGUGGGUUACAAAGCAGUGAGGGCAUGCCGAGGGGUGGUCACCUCGUAAAUCCAACCGCAAAAACCUAAACGCGAACGACGAGCGUUUUGCUCUCGCAGCCUAAAAAACUAGCGAAGCCGCUACACCGGUGCUUCCCUCGACCGGAGUGAGCCUCAAAAACUCACGGUAGCGUCAUCCAGAGGGAAUCGGCCGGCGUCGGGUUACUUGGCGCCGGCUUAAACCAAGGUGACUCGCCGCUGUCCGGCCUGCCUGUCGGCUAAGGCAGCGGUUAAAUCAAAUAGACCGGAUACGCAUGUAGAACUUGCUGUGGAGGGCUUGCGGACGCGGGUUCAAUUCCCGCCGGCUCCACCA